This 393-nucleotide ribosomal RNA is filed under the name uncultured bacterium. Its description in RNAcentral is "partial 16S ribosomal RNA". It matches the Rfam family "Bacterial small subunit ribosomal RNA", at positions 523 to 918 of the family's 1533-position model. The record is from RNAcentral.
AUACGGAAGGUCCGGGCGUUAUCCGGAUUUAUUGGGUUUAAAGGGAGCGCAGGCGGAGAUGCAAGCGUGACGUCAAAUUUCGGGGCUCAACCCCGUCUCGCGUCGCGAACUGCGUCCCUUGGUUGCGGGAAGGGGAGGCGGAACUCGUGGUGUAGUGGUGAAAUGCAUAGAUAUCACGAAGAACUCCGAUCGCGAAGGCAGCCUUCCGGCCCGUCAACGACGCUCAUGCUCGAAGGUGCGGGUAUCAAACAGGAUUAGAUACCCUGGUAGUCCGCACAGUAAACGAUGGACACCCGCGGUUUGGCCUGUAUGGCUGAGCCGCCAAGCGAAAGCGUUAAGUGUCCCACCUGGGGAGUACGCCGGCAACGGUGAAACUCAAAUGAAUUGGCGGGG